UACGUAGGGUGCGAGCGUUAAUCGGAAUUACUGGGCGUAAAGCGUGCGCAGGCGGCUUUGCAAGACAGAUGUGAAAUCCCCGGGCUCAACCUGGGAACUGCAUUUGUGACUGCAAGGCUAGAGUACGGCAGAGGGGGAUGGAAUUCCGCGUGUAGCAGUGAAAUGCGUAGAUAUGCGGAGGAACACCAAUGGCGAAGGCAAUCCCCUGGGCCUGUACUGACGCUCAUGCACGAAAGCGUGGGGAGCAAGCAGG
Molecule: ribosomal RNA, 253 nt
Filed under: uncultured bacterium
Lineage: Bacteria
Description: partial 16S ribosomal RNA
Rfam family: Bacterial small subunit ribosomal RNA
Source: RNAcentral